RNAcentral lists this ribosomal RNA (380 nucleotides) under uncultured eukaryote. Its description in RNAcentral is "partial 18S ribosomal RNA". It matches the Rfam family "Eukaryotic small subunit ribosomal RNA", at positions 592 to 976 of the family's 1831-position model. The record is from RNAcentral.
CAAUAGCGUAUAUUAAAGUUGUUGCAGUUAAAACGCUCGUAGUCGGAUUUCGGGGCGGGUCCGCCGGUCUGCCGAUGGGUACGCACUGGCGGGCGCGUCCUUCCUUCCGGAGACUGGCCCUACUCUUAGCUGAGCGGGGUCGGGAGUCGGAUCGUUUACUUUGAAAAAAUCAGAGUGUUUCAAGCAGGCAGCUCGCUCUUGCAUGGAUUAGCAUGGGAUAAUAAAAUAGGACUUUGGUGCUAUUUUGUUGGUUUCGAACACCGAAGUAAUGAUUAACAGGGACAGUCAGGGGCACUCGUAUUCCGCCGAGAGAGGUGAAAUUCUCAGACCAGCGGAAGACGAACCACUGCGAAAGCAUUUGCCAGGGAUGUUUUCACUGA